This is a long non-coding RNA of Sorex araneus (European shrew), 2223 nucleotides long. RefSeq lists it as uncharacterized. NCBI's taxonomy places the organism in Eukaryota, Metazoa, Chordata, Mammalia, Eulipotyphla, Soricidae. The record is from RefSeq and is a predicted model, not a curated record. The transcript has 3 exons.
GGUAGGAACAGGUGCUGCCGUAAGAAGGGCAGCAUUUAGAGGAGAGAAGAGGUAGUUUGGACCUGAGAAACAGCCUUUGCUUGCAUCAGGGUGAUAGUAGAGACUGCAGACUCAGAGAAGACAAGUCAUUAAGGUCCUGGCAUGUUACUGUCAGUUUCACCUGCUUCCACGUGAAGCAAGGUUCAAGUUCAAACAGCAUCACACACUCUGGGCACUCAAGAAAUUGUCACUUUCAUUACCUCAGCCUCAUCCUAUUCUUCCUACAGGGGCAAACAUUGGCCUCACAGUUCAGUCUUCCCAGUGAGACCUGAACACUGGGUUCCCCAGGACAUGCAUCCUCAGAAGAUGAGGGAAUUGUCAUGGUGAAGCUGGAGGACUCUGAGGAGGAGGGCGGGGGCUGCCCCAUGGGAUCCUGGCCCAGAGGCUGCAUGCCAGCGCUUCUGACCCUUCUGCUACGAUGAGACCUUAGGUCCUCAGAAGGCCCUAGCCCAACUCAUAAAGCUGUGCCAUGAGUGGCUGCAACCCGACGUGCACUCCAAGGACCAAAUGCUGGAGCUGCUAGUGCUGGAGCAGUUUCUGGGCAUGCUACUCUGAGAUCCAGGCCCGUGUUCAGGCACAGUGGCCAGGCAGUCCUGAGGAAGCUGCUGCCCUAGUUGAGGGUCUUCACCAGGAACCAGGAAGACCCCAGAGAUGGGCCUGCACCCAGAUGUCAUCCCACCUGACCCCAUCACCUGGCAUACCACCACAUGAGGGAAUCAGUGUGGGAGCACCCCUACUGCGUGACCCCAUCUUUCUUCUCCAGGACUUCCAGAUUCUGAGCCACUAACCAAUGCCUAGGACACUGUACCUACUGUCUGCCUGACAUGGCCCAGAAAAAUUAUUUUAAUUAGAAGUUCCAGAUGUUUCAGGAAAGAUAGCUGAAAGGGCUGGAGUGCAUGCCUUAUAUGUAGGAGUCUGGAUUUAUUUCCCAAUACCUCUGGAAGCAAUCCCCCAGCAGCACAUUGUGGGUAGCCUCUGAGCACUGCCAGGUGUGGCCCAAAAACUAAAAUUGAAAAAAAAUCUAGAUUUUUGCUAGCGUAGUCUUAGUAUCUGAUAGUGCACUUAUUUCCUGACCAUUUGUUUUAUUAAGUCUUCCCCCUUUUUAAAAAAAUCUGAGGAUAGCAGUAACUUGUUUUAUUAAAAUUUUCUCAGCAUGGGCUCUCUUUAGCUUCUCUUAAGUUGUUUGCUAAUGUGUAAGACAGGGAUCACAAAUCACUGAGAUGUGGAUGAGGAGCAUAUUGGCCAUGACAACAAACUAAGGAUAGAAAAUAAUAGUAUCACUUGCCCAAGACAGCCCACUUCUUAGGGGAUAUGAUUGGCUGGGACAUGAGUCUCUAAGGCAAUGUGGCUAGGCUGGCUGGAGGCAGCCCUUUGCUGAGCAUUUUCAGAUCUUUUCUCUCAGUCCUCCCAAGAAAGCAGUUUCAGGGCUAGAACAAUAGUACAGCACGUAGGGCACUUGCCUUGCAUGCGGUCAACCCAGGUUCCAUCCCCAUCAUCCCAUCUGAUCCCCCAAGCCGCACCAGAAAUUAUUCCUGAGCUAGAGCCAGGAGUAAGAGGAAGGUAGUGCUUCCACUUAUUUUCUGGUGGUGCUCAGGGAAACCAUAUGUAAUGCCAGGGAUCAAACUAGUUUAAGGAGCUGGAGAGUAGAGAGGUUAAGGCACAUGCCCUGCAUGAGACUAACCCUGGCUCAGUCCCCAAUACCUCAUGUAGUCUUCCAAGAAGUGCCAGGAGCCAUACCUGAGCACAGACCAAAAGUCCUGAGCACUCCCAGGUGAGCCUCCCCAUCUCCCCAAUCCCCCCACCCUGCCCUACCCCCCCAAAAAAUUAAACAGGUUCUGCCAUAUUCAAGGCAAGCACCUUUAACCUCAUGAAACUCCAGCUCUGGUUACCUUUUUUUUUAAAAAAAAAAGACCAGAGAUAACUCUAUUCAUAUGAGCAUAUCAUCUGAGCAUAUGCUUUACAUAUAGAAUGUCUGGGCUUUAUCUCUGGCAUCACAGGUUAUCCUUAGCUUCUGGGAGCAAUCUCUGAACAUGGAACCAGGAGUAGCCCUAAGCACUGCUGGAUGUGACCCAUAAUCCCCCAAAAAAGCAUUUUAAAAAAUGUUUAAAAAUUUUUGCCUGAGGGGGCCAGAGCGAUAGCACAGCGGGUAGGGCGUUUGCCUUGCAUGCGGCCGACCCAGGUUCA